This 65-nucleotide transfer RNA is filed under the name Debaryomyces hansenii. The record is from RNAcentral. Lineage: Eukaryota; Fungi; Ascomycota; Pichiomycetes; Serinales; Debaryomycetaceae.
UAUCCCUGUUGUGGGUACCCUUGUUGUGGAUAUCCAUGCUGUGAAUAUCCCUGCUGAUAUCCUCC